This is a long non-coding RNA of Symphalangus syndactylus (siamang), 260 nucleotides long. RefSeq lists it as uncharacterized. Lineage: Eukaryota; Metazoa; Chordata; Mammalia; Primates; Hylobatidae. The record is from RefSeq and is a predicted model, not a curated record.
CCAGACCACGUGGACAGGGAGGCUGCUGACACCUGGUGGCUCCUGCUUCUCCAAUGGAACUGGCUUCACUCUGGAAAAAAGAUGUUUCUUCUUCUCUGGAUCUUCCAUUUUGGAAAAGGAAGCCAAACAAUUCAUUGAUGAUAAUCUACUGACUUCAACUCCCCCUUAGCACCCAUCCAUGUGAAGAGACACCUUUGGACAUCUGUUAUACUUGGAGGAGCCAAUGUUAUCCUGUUUGUUAAAUAAUCUUGUUCAAUCCA